Molecule: ribosomal RNA, 253 nt
Filed under: uncultured bacterium
Lineage: Bacteria
Description: partial 16S ribosomal RNA
Rfam family: Bacterial small subunit ribosomal RNA
Source: RNAcentral
UACGUAGGGGGCGAGCGUUGUCCGGAUUCAUUGGGCGUAAAGAGCGUGUAGGCGGCCAGGUAGGUCCGUUGUGAAAACCCGAGGCUUAACCUCGGGACGCCGACGGAAACCAUCUGGCUAGGGUCCGGAAGAGGAGAGUGGAAUUCCCGGUGUAGCGGUGAAAUGCGCAGAUAUCGGGAAGAACACCCGUGGCGAAGGCGGCUCUCUGGGACGGUACCGACGCUGAGACGCGAAAGCGUGGGGAGCGAACAGG